RNAcentral lists this ribosomal RNA (430 nucleotides) under uncultured soil bacterium. RNAcentral's name for it is "bacterial SSU rRNA". It matches the Rfam family "Bacterial small subunit ribosomal RNA", at positions 26 to 458 of the family's 1533-position model. The record is from RNAcentral.
AGGACGAACGCUGGCGGCGUGCUUAACACAUGCAAGUCGAGCGGUAAGGCCUUUCGGGGUACACGAGCGGCGAACGGGUGAGUAACACGUGGGUGAUCUGCCCUGCACUUCGGGAUAAGCCUGGGAAACUGGGUCUAAUACCGGAUAUGACCUCAGGUUGCAUGACUUGGGGUGGAAAGAUUUAUCGGUGCAGGAUGGGCCCGCGGCCUAUCAGCUUGUUGGUGGGGUAAUGGCCUACAAGGCGACGACGGGUAGCCGACCUGAGAGGGUGACCGGCCACACGUGGGACUGAGACACGGCCCAGACUCCUACGGGAGGCAGCGAGUGGGAAUAUGCACAAUGGGCGAAAGCCGGAUCCGAGCAAUGCCGCGUGAGUGAGUGAAGGUCCUUAAGGGUUGUAAAGUCUUACGUUUUACCCGAGUAUGAAUAA